RNAcentral lists this ribosomal RNA (378 nucleotides) under uncultured eukaryote. Its description in RNAcentral is "partial 18S ribosomal RNA". It matches the Rfam family "Eukaryotic small subunit ribosomal RNA", at positions 592 to 975 of the family's 1831-position model. The record is from RNAcentral.
CAAUAGCGUAUAUUUAAGUUGUUGCAGUUAAAAAGCUCGUAGUUGGAUUUCGGGUGGGACGCAGCGGUCUCGCAUUGCGUUUGUACUGCUGCAGCCCUCCUUCUUGCCGGGGGCGGCCUCUCGGACUUCACUGUCUGGGGGUCAGAAUCGGCGAUGUUACUUUGAGUAAAUUAGAGUGUUCAAAGCAAGCUUACGCUCUGAAUAUAAUAGCAUGGGAUAACACGACAGGACUCUGGUCUUAUUGUGUUGGUCUUCGAGACCGGAGUAAUGAUUAAGAGGGACAGUUGGGGGCAUUCGUAUUUCAUUGUCAGAGGUGAAAUUCUUGGAUUUAUGAAAGACGAACUUCUGCGAAAGCAUUUGCCAAGGAUGUUUUCAUUA